Molecule: unclassified non-coding RNA, 584 nt
Filed under: Hevea brasiliensis (rubber tree)
Lineage: Eukaryota; Viridiplantae; Streptophyta; Magnoliopsida; Malpighiales; Euphorbiaceae
Source: RNAcentral
GUUUCUAUGUCGCUCUAAGAUGGAAAUCGCUCAAGAUUUAUGCAUCACUUCUGAUCAACUUUGGAUUAGCUUUGUGCCUCCUAGCUCCAUAACUUGUCUAGAUCAGUUGGAAGGAUGUAAUCAACUUAAGGCGUCAUUUUUUUCUGACCAGUUAGAGGUCAAGAAUUGUGGACUUCGUCUAUUAUAUUAUGACGAUGAAGACGUUGUUGACAUUUUAACGUGUGGAUACUUGUACUGUUGUGUGUGACUUGCAUGCAUACAAUUUGCCGUCGGAACAAAGUUUGUUUCUAGGUCGCUUUACGAUGGAAAUCGCUCAAGAUUUAUGCAUCACUUCUGAUCAACUUUGGAUUAGCUUUGUGCCUCCUAGCUCCAUAACUUGUCUAGAUCAGUUGGAAGGAUGUAAUCAACUUAAGGCGUCAUUUUUUUCUGACCAGUUAGAGGUCAAGAAUUGUGGACUUCGUCUAUUAUAUUAUGACGAUGAAGACGUUGUUGACAUUUUAACGUGUGGAUACUUGUACUGUUGUGUGUGACUUGCAUGCAUACAAUUUGCCGUCGGAACAAAGUUUGUUUCUAGGUCGCUUUAC